UGAAAAAAAUACAGAAACAUC
This 21-nucleotide non-coding RNA is filed under the name Caenorhabditis elegans. The record is from RNAcentral. Lineage: Eukaryota; Metazoa; Nematoda; Chromadorea; Rhabditida; Rhabditidae.